CGGAGGGUGCAAGCGUUGUCCGGAUUUAUUGGGUUUAAAGGGUGCGUAGGCGGCUUUUUAAGUCAGUGGUGAAAUCCUUCAGCUUAACUGGAGAAUUGCCAUUGAUACUGGAAAGCUUGAGUACAGACGAGGUAGGCGGAAUUUAUGGUGUAGCGGUGAAAUGCUUAGAUACCAUAAAGAACACCGAUUGCGAAGGCAGCUUACUAGGCUGUAACUGACGCUGAGGCACGAAAGUGUGGGGAUCAAACAGGAUUAGAUACCCUGGUAGUCCACACUGUAAACGAUGAUUACUCGAUGUGUGCGAUAGACAGUACGCGUCCAAGCGAAAGCGUUAAGUAAUCCACCUGGGGAGUACGAUCGCAAGAUUG
Molecule: ribosomal RNA, 368 nt
Filed under: uncultured organism
Description: bacterial SSU rRNA
Rfam family: Bacterial small subunit ribosomal RNA
Source: RNAcentral